This 355-nucleotide RNase P RNA is filed under the name Actinomycetes bacterium. RNAcentral's name for it is "Actinobacteria bacterium RNase P RNA component class A". It matches the Rfam family "Bacterial RNase P class A". Rfam says of the family: Ribonuclease P (RNase P) is a ubiquitous endoribonuclease, found in archaea, bacteria and eukarya as well as chloroplasts and mitochondria. Its best characterised activity is the generation of mature 5'-ends of tRNAs by cleaving the 5'-leader elements of precursor-tRNAs. The record is from RNAcentral. Lineage: Bacteria; Bacillati; Actinomycetota; Actinomycetes.
GGAGUGAGCUGGGCGGUCGCGAGACGCAUGCGUCUCGAGGAAAGUCCGGGCUCCACAGGGCAGGGUGCCGGCUAACAGCCGGGCGGGGCAACCCGACGGAAAGUGCCACAGAAAAGAAGACUCCACAUCGAGACGCCACGUGGGUCCCGAUGUGGAAAAGCUGAAACGGUGAGGUAAGAGCUCACCAGCGGGCCGGAGACGACCCGGCUUGGCAAACCCCACCCGGAGCAAGGCCAUGCAGGGACCACGAGACGGCCCGUCUCGUCCCGGGUCGGCCGCUCGAGCCGGCCGGUAACGGCCGGCCUAGAGAGAUGACCGCUCUCGACAGAACCCGGCUUACAGGCUCGCUCCGCUC